UGGAGUUCAUGCAAGUUCUAACC
RNAcentral lists this non-coding RNA (23 nucleotides) under Cricetulus griseus (Chinese hamster). Lineage: Eukaryota; Metazoa; Chordata; Mammalia; Rodentia; Cricetidae. RNAcentral also lists the same sequence under 1 other name. The record is from RNAcentral.